GACGAACGCUGGCGGCGUGCCUAAUACAUGCAAGUAGAACGCUGAAGGAGGAGCUUGCUUCUCUGGAUGAGUUGCGAACGGGUGAGUAACGCGUAGGUAACCUGCCUGGUAGCGGGGGAUAACUAUUGGAAACGAUAGCUAAUACCGCAUAAUAUUGACUAUUGCAUGAUAGUCAGUUGAAAGGUGCAACUGCACCACUACCAGAUGGACCUGCGUUGUAUUAGCUAGUUGGUGGGGUAACGGCUCACCAAGGCGACGAUACAUAGCCGACCUGAGAGGGUGAUCGGCCACACUGGGACUGAGACACGGCCCAGACUCCUACGGGAGGCAGCAGUAGGGAAUCUUCGGCAAUGGACGGAAGUCUGACCGAGCAACGCCGCGUGAGUGAAGAAGGUUUUCGGAUCGUAAAGCUCUGUUGUAAGAGAAGAACGAGUGUGAGAGUGGAAAGCUCACACUGUGACGGUAUCUUACCAGAAAGGGACGGCUAACUACGCG
This 495-nucleotide ribosomal RNA is filed under the name uncultured bacterium. Its description in RNAcentral is "partial 16S ribosomal RNA". It matches the Rfam family "Bacterial small subunit ribosomal RNA", at positions 28 to 507 of the family's 1533-position model. The record is from RNAcentral.